UAGUCCACGCCGUAAACGAUGGAUACUAGGCGCUUGGAGGAAUUAACCCUCUGGGUGCCAAAGCUCACGCAUUAAGUAUCCCGCCUGGGGAGUACGGUCGCAAGGCUAAAACUCAAAGGAAUUGACGGGGGCCCGCACAAGCGGUGGAGUAUGUGGUUUAAUUCGAAGCAACGCGAAGAACCUUACCUGGUCUUGACAUCCUCUGACAAUCAUAGAGAUAUGACUUUCUCUUCGGAGACAGAGUGACAGGUGCUGCAUGGCUGUCGUCAGCUCGUGUUGUAAAAUGUUCGGUUAAGUCCGGCAACGAGCGCAACCCCUAUCCUUAGUUACCAUCAUUUAGUUGGGGACUCUAGGGAGACUGCCGGUGUCAAACCGGAGGAAGGCGGGGAUGACGUCAAGUCCUCAUGGCCCUUACGACCAGGGCUACACACGUACUACAAUGGCAGGAACAAACAGUUGCGAGACCGCAAGGUUUAGCUAAUCUGAAAAACACUGUCCCAGUCCGGAUUGGGGU
This 514-nucleotide ribosomal RNA is filed under the name uncultured bacterium. RNAcentral's name for it is "bacterial SSU rRNA". It matches the Rfam family "Bacterial small subunit ribosomal RNA", at positions 791 to 1304 of the family's 1533-position model. The record is from RNAcentral.